GCUGACGUGGAUCCUGGAGCCUCGCCGGGAAGACCAAGGCUCGUGGGGUUCCGGGGACCCACCCGCAGGCUGAAUUCGAAACGAAUACAAACCCAGGGCGCCAGCUCUUGGCUGGCUUCAGCGUGAGGCUCCAGAAGGGGGUCUGUCCAAUCUACGUACGACGAGAGGGCGCGAACGGCGGCGGCCCGUCUGCGAGCCUCGGGGAAACUGGUCCCUUGAGAUUAUAGGAUUUACUCGGGUUUCUCUGGCUUCGGAAUCCAGCUGAGAGAUGAGGAAGCUGCCGAAGAAAAGUGAAGCUAGCAGAGAUGGGUUCAUGAGGUUGAAGGAAAGAAGCCGUCUCCACCAUGUAAAAGUGCAGAGUGAAGCAGCAAGUGCUGAUGUAGAAGCUGCAGCAAGUUACCCAGGAGAUCUAGCUCAGAUAAUUCACGAAGGUGGCUAUGUAAUAAGGAAGACCCUUUGUAUUCUAUUACAAGUUAAUCACUAAAAGGAUGUUUCCCAGAAGCUUAAAUGAUACAUAAUGGCCCGUCCCUGGGAACCCUGCCCCCCAGGUAGUGAGCAUUAAGCUAAAAUACCUGUGUUUAGCUCCCAGGAAACAUCCUGACCAGGCCCACCUGUGAAUGGCUGCAGGCAGGAAGAAAUGAACCUAUCCCCUCUGGAGGCUGACUGAACCAGGACUUUACUCCCACCCCUUUCAGUAUAAAAGAAGUCUGAAUUCUAACUAGGGGAAGAUGGCUCUUUGGGACACGAGUCUACCGUCUUCUGAAGCCAGCCAGGAGCCUUGCUGCUUGUGGCCUGCAGGGCCCAGAUCGGGGAAUUUUCUGGUAAGGCCCGGGCAGCUGCUGGUAACACUUGUCCUGAGACUCUUUGCUUCAAAAUUCCCUGAAGCAGCGCUGGCUGCCACUUGGCAAGUGGAGCAGGGAAUUGACAUCUGGGAGCUGAGAGGCUCAAUACCGUAGGAAGAAAUCGAGGCUCACAGACAUCAGUUAACCUGUCCCAGUUCGCACAGUGAGUGAGUGGCAGAGCCUGGAUCUGGCAUCAGGUUUGUGAGUUGCAAAACUCACAUUCUGGGCUUCCCCGGUGGCACAGUGGUUAAGAAUCUGCCUGCCAAUGCAGGGGACACGGGUUCGAGCCCUGGUCCAGGAAGAUCCCAUGUGCCGCAGAGCAACUAAGCCCGUGUGCCACAACUACUGAGCCUGCGCUCUAGAGCCCGCGAGCCACAGCUACUGAGCCCACGUGCCACAACUACUGAAGCCCGUGCGCCUAGAGCCCGUGCUCUGCAACAAGAGAAGCCACCACAGUGAGAAGCCCGUGCACUGCAACGAAGAGUAGCCCCCACUCGCCACAACUAAAGAAAGCCCGCGCGUAGCAACAAAGACCCAGUGCAGCCACAGAAAAAAAAAGAAAAGUGAACCCUAAUGUAAACCGUGGACUCUAGGCGAUAAUGAUGUUCAAAUGUAGGUUCAUCACUUGUAGCAAAUGUACCAUCUGGUGGGGGAUGGCGGUAGCGGGGGAAGCUGUAUGCUUGCCGGGGCCAGGGACUAUACGGGAAAUCUCUGUACCGUCCCAUCAGUUUUGCUGUGAACCUCAACAGGCUCUAAAAAAUUGUCUAUUAAAAAAACAGCUGAGGAGUUCCCUGGCGGUCCAGUGGUUAGGACUUGGCGCUCUCACUGCCGUGGCCCUGGGUUCAAUCCCUGGUCGGGGAACUAAGAUCCCACAAGCCCUGUGGCACAGCCAAAAAUAAAAAAUAAAAAAUAAAUUUAAAAAACCUGAAGAAAUCUUCAGGGCAACCUUGGUAGGUGUGUCUGGAACAUGUUCCCUUGCCUGGGAGGGCUUCUGCAGCAUGAGCGCCUCACUCGUGCCAACUACGAAGGAGCUGCACCUCCACCCGCCUCCCGCCGCUGGGCUCCCCUGGGGCACCUGGAACCUGGGAGGCCAGGACAACGUGGAGUCUCCACGCGCGCUCAGCCCCACAGCAGUCCUGCCCUGACCCGCUUCGUGCAGCUGAGCAAGGUUGGGAUUUCCAAAAGGAACUUUCCUGGAGAAACGAAAUUAAAAAGAGAGAGCACAGCUGAACCCAGAACUCCAACCGAUACAGGGAGGAUCUUGAGCUAGGCCAGGUUGGGACAGAUGAGACCUUGUGGGGUGGAUGAAUGUCCGCAAGGACCCCGACCUCAGAGAAGGGGGCAGGCAGCUGUACGUGAGGCAGGGAAGGAGAGAGGAGAGGUCGGAGCGACAUGAAAUCCAGCACGGCGGGGUCUGCAAAGAACAUCUUCUGGAAGGAGAUGCCUCGUGUUCUGGAUGCCUUUCUGCAAGGUACAGCCCUCCUCCACCUCAUGACCUCCGGCUGCCCAUCCUCACAGUCUAUCCCUAAAUCUCCAGGAGGGUUUACUAAACUCACCAGGUUCAGUGUGAGCUUCAGAAAUGGAACAAGGGUGGUGGAUCUUCUCUGGCGGUCCAGUGGUUAAGACCUCGUGCUUCCACUGCAGGGGGUGAGGGUUUGAUCCCUGGUCAGGGCACUAAGAUCCCCCAUGCCUCACGGUGUGGCCAAAAUAAAUACAUAAAUACAUAAAUAAAAUAAUAAAGAAGUUGAACAAGGGUGGAGUUUUACGUCUUCAGAAAGCAAGCACGCCCUCCUCCCCCAGUAUCCUCCUUCACCUGGAGAUUUGCAACAUCUAGGGACACCUUUAACAUCCAAAGACCGUCAAAAUGGAAGUUUUCCAUCCAUUUUACCUGAAUCUAAAGGGAGGGGAGGUCUCAGGUGAAAACCUAAAGUGCAAGAAAAUAGCAAAGCGUAAAAGGGAGCAAGGAUAUUUUUGCUAACAGAGCACAGAUAUUUUUGCCUUGAUUAACUCAGACUUGUCUCAGACACACAGACCCUGGUUCCCCUCCUGCCCCUGGGCUUGAGCUGAUGUGCUGGUUCACGGCAAUGGCUGGCUGCAGGCUUGAGCUCAGCCUGUCCUCCUGCCCUCGGCUUCCUGAUGGACCUCUGGCCCAGCGCUACCAGCAGAUUGCUGACAGCUAGAAGCCGGCCUCCUACAGGUCACAUUCCCUCUGCUGGCAGGAGGCACCAUUCCUUUUUUUUUUUUUUUUAACUUUAUUUUUGGCUGCGUUGGGUCUUUGUUGCUGAGCGCGGGCUUUUCUCUAGUGUGGUGAGCGGGGGCUACUCUUC
Balaenoptera acutorostrata (minke whale) is the source of this 3169-nucleotide long non-coding RNA. RefSeq lists it as uncharacterized. The record is from RefSeq and is a predicted model, not a curated record. Lineage: Eukaryota; Metazoa; Chordata; Mammalia; Artiodactyla; Balaenopteridae. The transcript has 3 exons.